RNAcentral lists this ribosomal RNA (433 nucleotides) under uncultured bacterium. RNAcentral's name for it is "partial 16S ribosomal RNA". It matches the Rfam family "Bacterial small subunit ribosomal RNA", at positions 29 to 507 of the family's 1533-position model. The record is from RNAcentral.
AACGAACGCUGGCGGCAUGCCUAACACAUGCAAGUCGAACGAGACCUUCGGGUCUAGUGGCGCACGGGUGCGUAACGCGUGGGAACCUGCCCUUAGGUUCGGAAUAACUCCCCGAAAGGGGUGCUAAUACCGGAUAAUGUCUUCGGACCAAAGAUUUAUCGCCUUUGGAUGGGCCCGCGUUGGAUUAGCUAGUUGGUAGGGUAAAAGCCUACCAUGGCGACGAUCCAUAGCUGGUCUGAGAGGAUGAUCAGCCACACUGGGACUGAGACACGGCCCAGACUCCUACGGGAGGCAGCAGUGGGGAAUAUUGGACAAUGGGCGAAAGCCUGAUCCAGCAAUGCCGCGUGAGUGAUGAAGGCCUUAGGGUUGUAAAGCUCUUUUACCCGGGAUGAUAAUGACAGUACCGGGAGAAUAAGCGCCGGCUAACUCCGUG